UUUAGUAAUCGAGUAGUCAAAUUAAGUGAUUAAUGUCUUGAAAGGGAAUUGGUCUAACUUGUGUUCAUGUUCAAGAACAGUUCGUAAUUGUUGAAUUCCUUGUCUCAUGUUUCCAUUGUUUAUUGUUCUCUGAAAUAUCCUAAUGCCUAAUGUCUUUAAAUCUCGAAAGUUAAAUCGUUUAAUUUAUAUGCAUUUUUAUUUACAAUCUGAUAACUCAAACAAAAACCAUCUUUCCGCUUUAGCUAAGAACGAGUCUCGGAAAUCUUUAAAGUAUCUUUGGUCCUUGUGGAUCGACCUCGAAUAUUCUACUUCGGUUAGAUAUUUCGGGUAAUCAAUCAAGUUGGCGCCGUUGCCGGGGACCAAUUACGUUACCUAAGGAUUUAGGAUUAGUUUUUAGUCUAAAGCAUUUUUAU
This 413-nucleotide small RNA is filed under the name Arabidopsis thaliana (thale cress). Its description in RNAcentral is "ATSL158910". The record is from RNAcentral. Lineage: Eukaryota; Viridiplantae; Streptophyta; Magnoliopsida; Brassicales; Brassicaceae.